CCUUCGGUGGGCAGCAGUGAGGAAUAUUGGUCAAUGGGCGAGAGCCUGAACCAGCCAAGUCGCGUGAGGGAGUACUGCCCUAUGGGUUGUAAACCUCUUUUGUCGGGGAGCAAAAGCCGGACGUGUCCGGCUGUGAGAGUACCCGAAGAAAAAGCAUCGGCUAACUCCGUCCAAGCAGCCGCGGUAAUACGGAGGAUGCGAGCGUUAUCCGGAUUUCGUGGGUGUAAAGGGGGCGCAGGCGGGUUGUUGAGUCAGCGGUCAAAUCGUGGGGCUCAACCCGAUCCAGCCUUUGAAACUGGGGAUCUAGAGUGUGCUGGAGGUAGGCGGAAGGCGUGGUGUAGCGGUGAAAUGCAUAGAUAUCACGCAGAACCCCGAUUGCGAAGGCAGCAUACCGGUGCACAACUGACGCUCAGGCACGAAAGCGUGGGUAUCGAACAGGAUUAGAUACCCCUGUAGUA
Molecule: ribosomal RNA, 458 nt
Filed under: uncultured bacterium
Lineage: Bacteria
Description: partial 16S ribosomal RNA
Rfam family: Bacterial small subunit ribosomal RNA
Source: RNAcentral